This 300-nucleotide small nuclear RNA is filed under the name Microcebus murinus (gray mouse lemur). RNAcentral's name for it is "7SK RNA (ENSMICG00000023402.3)". It matches the Rfam family "7SK RNA". Rfam says of the family: 7SK was discovered as an abundant small nuclear RNA in the mid-70s but a possible function has only recently been suggested. Two independent studies have found that 7SK RNA binds the CDK9/cyclin T complex (known as elongation factor P-TEFb). Lineage: Eukaryota; Metazoa; Chordata; Mammalia; Primates; Cheirogaleidae. The record is from RNAcentral.
GCUUUUAAAAGUUCUUGGAUGUGAUACCUGUCACCCCAUCGAUCACCAGGGUUGAUUCGGCUGAUCUGGCUGGCUAGGCGGGUGUCCCCUUCCUCUCUCAUUGCUCCAUGUGUGUCUGUCUCGAAGUGCACACUUGGUCAAAGAGGAUGACCUUCCCCAAUGGAGAAGGAUCGUUUUUUUGGUCAGAGGUGUAUGAGUAGCUGGGGUACCCUGCUAGAACUUCAAACAAGUUCCUAAAAGGAGUUCUUAUUGAGGCAUGAAACCUUAAGAAUCCUAGAAGAAGAGGUGGGAAAUCCCUCU